This 164-nucleotide ribosomal RNA is filed under the name Eragrostis intermedia. RNAcentral's name for it is "5.8S ribosomal RNA". It matches the Rfam family "5.8S ribosomal RNA". Rfam says of the family: 5.8S ribosomal RNA (5.8S rRNA) is a component of the large subunit of the eukaryotic ribosome. It is transcribed by RNA polymerase I as part of the 45S precursor that also contains 18S and 28S rRNA. Functionally, it is thought that 5.8S rRNA may be involved in ribosome translocation. The record is from RNAcentral. Lineage: Eukaryota; Viridiplantae; Streptophyta; Magnoliopsida; Poales; Poaceae.
AAUAUGACUCUCGGCAACGGAUAUCUCGGCUCUCGCAUCGAUGAAGAACGUAGCAAAAUGCGAUACCUGGUGUGAAUUGCAGAAUCCCGUGAACCAUCGAGUUUUUGAACGCAAGUUGCGCCCGAGGCCUUCUGGUCGAGGGCACGUCUGCCUGGGCGUCACGC